Molecule: ribosomal RNA, 1747 nt
Filed under: Cupriavidus taiwanensis
Lineage: Bacteria; Pseudomonadati; Pseudomonadota; Betaproteobacteria; Burkholderiales; Burkholderiaceae
Description: bacterial LSU rRNA
Rfam family: Bacterial large subunit ribosomal RNA
Source: RNAcentral
GGCUAAGCUAUAUACCGAAGCUGCGGACGCACGCAAGUGCGUGGUAGGAGAGCGUUCUGUAAGCCUGUGAAGGUGUCUUGUAAAGGAUGCUGGAGGUAUCAGAAGUGCGAAUGCUGACAUGAGUAGCGAUAAAGGGGGUGAAAGGCCCCCUCGCCGUAAGCCCAAGGUUUCCUACGCAACGUUCAUCGGCGUAGGGUGAGUCGGCCCCUAAGGCGAGGCAGAGAUGCGUAGCUGAUGGGAAGCAGGUUAAUAUUCCUGCACCGUCGUAUGAUGCGAUGGGGGGACGGAUCGCGGAAGGUUGUCCGGGUGUUGGAAGUCCCGGUCCCUGUAGUGGAGAAGGCGCUUAGGCAAAUCCGGGCGCGGAAUUCAAGGCUAUGGGGCGAGCGGCCUAGUGCUGCGAAGCAAUUGGAAGUGGUUCCAAGAAAAGCCUCUAAGCUUCAGUCAUACGAGACCGUACCGCAAACCGACACAGGUGGGCGAGAUGAGUAUUCUAAGGCGCUUGAGAGAACUCGGGAGAAGGAACUCGGCAAAUUGGUACCGUAACUUCGGGAUAAGGUACGCCCUGGUAGCUUGACUGGCCUGCGCCAGAAGGGUGAAGGGGUUGCAAUAAAAUGGUGGCUGCGACUGUUUAAUAAAAACACAGCACUCUGCAAACACGAAAGUGGACGUAUAGGGUGUGACGCCUGCCCGGUGCCGGAAGAUUAAAUGAUGGGGUGCAAGCUCUUGAUUGAAGUCCCGGUAAACGGCGGCCGUAACUAUAACGGUCCUAAGGUAGCGAAAUUCCUUGUCGGGUAAGUUCCGACCUGCACGAAUGGCGUAACGAUGGCCACACUGUCUCCUCCCGAGACUCAGCGAAGUUGAAGUGUUUGUGAUGAUGCAAUCUCCCCGCGGCUAGACGGAAAGACCCCAUGAACCUUUACUGUAGCUUUGCAUUGGACUUUGAACCGAUCUGUGUAGGAUAGGUGGGAGGCUUUGAAGCGUGGACGCUAGUUCACGUGGAGCCGUCCUUGAAAUACCACCCUGGUUUGUUUGAGGUUCUAACCUUGGCCCGUGAAUCCGGGUCGGGGACAGUGCAUGGUAGGCAGUUUGACUGGGGCGGUCUCCUCCCAAAGUGUAACGGAGGAGUUCGAAGGUACGCUUGGUACGGUCGGACAUCGUACCUAAAGUGCAAUGGCAAAAGCGUGCUUAACUGCGAGACCGACAAGUCGAGCAGGUGCGAAAGCAGGACAUAGUGAUCCGGUGGUUCUGAAUGGAAGGGCCAUCGCUCAACGGAUAAAAGGUACUCUGGGGAUAACAGGCUGAUACCGCCCAAGAGUUCAUAUCGACGGCGGUGUUUGGCACCUCGAUGUCGGCUCAUCUCAUCCUGGGGCUGUAGCCGGUCCCAAGGGUAUGGCUGUUCGCCAUUUAAAGAGGUACGUGAGCUGGGUUUAAAACGUCGUGAGACAGUUUGGUCCCUAUCUGCCGUGGGCGUUGGAAUCUUGACGGGGGCUGCUCCUAGUACGAGAGGACCGGAGUGGACGUACCGCUGGUGUACCUGUUGUCUCGCCAGAGGCAUCGCAGGGUAGCUAUGUACGGAAGAGAUAACCGCUGAAAGCAUCUAAGCGGGAAACUCGCCUGAAGAUGAGGAUUCCCUGGAGGCUUGACCUCCUUGAAGGGUCGUUCGAGACCAGGACGUUGAUAGGCUGGGUGUGGAAGCGCAGUAAUGCGUUAAGCUAACCAGUACUAAUUGCCCGUAAGGCUUGAUCCU